GGACCCGCACAAGUAGUGGAGCAUGUGGUUUAAUUCGAAGAUACGCGCAGAACCUUACCAACACUUGACAUGUUCGUCGCGACUCUAAGAGAUUAGAGUUUUCGGUUCGGCCGGACGAAACACAGGUGCUGCAUGGCUGUCGUCAGCUCGUGUCGUGAGAUGUUGGGUUAAGUCCCGCAACGAGCGCAACCCUCACUUUUAGUUGCCAUCAUUAAGUUGGGCACUCUGAAAGAACUGCCAGUGAUAAGCUGGAGGAAGGUGGGGAUGACGUCAAGUCCUCAUGGCCCUUACGUGUUGGGCUACACACGUGCUACAAUGGUAUCUACAACAGGAAGCAAGACUGCGAAGUUAAGCAAAUCUCCAAAAGUCGUCUCAGUUCGGAUUGUCCUCUGCAACUCGAGGGCAUG
This 407-nucleotide ribosomal RNA is filed under the name uncultured bacterium. Its description in RNAcentral is "bacterial SSU rRNA". It matches the Rfam family "Bacterial small subunit ribosomal RNA", at positions 917 to 1322 of the family's 1533-position model. The record is from RNAcentral.